GAUGAACGCUGGCGGCGUGCCUAAUACAUGCAAGUCGAGCGAACGGACGAGAAGCUUGCUUUUCUGAUGUUAGCGGCGGACGGGUGAGUAACACGUGGAUAACCUACCUAUAAGACUGGGAUAACUUCGGGAAACCGGAGCUAAUACCGGAUAAUAUUUUGAACCGCAUGGUUCAAAAGUGAAAGACGGUCUUGCUGUCACUUAUAGAUGGAUCCGCGCUGCAUUAGCUAGUUGGUAAGGUAACGGCUUACCAAGGCAACGAUGCAUAGCCGACCUGAGAGGGUGAUCGGCCACACGGGAACUGAGCCACGGUCCAGACUCCUACGGGGGGCAGCAGUAGGGAAUCCUCCGCAAUGGGCGAAAGCCUGACGGAGCAACGCCGCGUGAGUGAUGAAGGUCUUCGGAUCGUAAAACUCUGUUAUUAGGGAAGAACAUAUGUGUAAGUAACUGUGCACAUCUUGACGGUACCUAAUCAGAAAGCCACGGCUAACUACGUG
RNAcentral lists this ribosomal RNA (497 nucleotides) under uncultured bacterium. RNAcentral's name for it is "partial 16S ribosomal RNA". It matches the Rfam family "Bacterial small subunit ribosomal RNA", at positions 28 to 507 of the family's 1533-position model. The record is from RNAcentral.